This 370-nucleotide ribosomal RNA is filed under the name uncultured Rhodoferax sp. Its description in RNAcentral is "bacterial SSU rRNA". It matches the Rfam family "Bacterial small subunit ribosomal RNA", at positions 1016 to 1382 of the family's 1533-position model. The record is from RNAcentral. Lineage: Bacteria; Pseudomonadati; Pseudomonadota; Betaproteobacteria; Burkholderiales; Comamonadaceae.
UCGAAAGAGAGCCGUAACACAGGUGCUGCAUGGGCUGUCGUCAGCUCGUGUCGUGAGAUGUUGGGUUAAGUCCCGCAACGAGCGCAACCCUUGUCCAUUAGUUGCUACAUUCAGUUUGGGCACUCUAAUGAGACUGCCGGUGACAAGCCGGAGGAAGGUGGGGAUGACGUCAAGUCCUCAUGGCCCUUAUAGGUGGGGCUACACACGUCAUACAAUGGCUGGUACAAAGGGUUGCCAACCCGCGAGGGGGAGCCAAUCCCAAAAAGCCGCUCUCAGUUCGGAUUGCAGGCUGCAACUCGCCUGCAUGAAGCCGGAAUCGCUAGUAAUCGCGGAUCAGCAUGCCGCGGUGAAUUACCGGUUCCCGGGCCUU